GUAAUAUUGUAAAAUUGUAAUCAAAUUAUUCUUAACCGCUAUAAAAAAUAACAUUUUUUCUUUUGGGUAUUUUGCUGAUGCUAUAUAAACUGGAUAUUAUUGAAUUCUUGGAUUAUAUUAAACCCAACUGUUUCUCAUUUUUCUAGAGUUCUUAAAAGUACACGUCCAUAAUGUCUGACCAGUGCAUUUUAUGUUUUUCCAAGCUUUGCUAUUCAUGUUAUUAAAAUUAAUAUAUAUUCUAUACAAUUACUAUAUAAGCGCUGGGGAAAUUAAGUUAUGAUUUUGUUAUUUACAAAAUUAUUUCACGUCAAUUUCGAUACAAAAACAAUCCACAAACUCAGUUG
This is a non-coding RNA of Paramuricea clavata, 344 nucleotides long. The record is from the annotation of a GenBank genome assembly. NCBI's taxonomy places the organism in Eukaryota, Metazoa, Cnidaria, Anthozoa, Malacalcyonacea, Plexauridae.